Molecule: ribosomal RNA, 318 nt
Filed under: Leptopelis gramineus (Ethiopian burrowing tree frog)
Lineage: Eukaryota; Metazoa; Chordata; Amphibia; Anura; Arthroleptidae
Description: partial large subunit ribosomal RNA
Rfam family: Bacterial large subunit ribosomal RNA
Source: RNAcentral
AUCAACGGGAUCACGAAAACUAUACUGUCUCCCCCCUAAAAUCAAUGAAACUGAUCUCCUCGUGAAGAAACGAGGAUGUAUAUAUAAGACGAGAAGACCCCAUGGAGCUUUAAACGAACUUCAAUUGUUCCUACCCAUAACAUACAAAUUGAACACCCCUGAUAGUUAGUUUUAGGUUGGGGUGACCGCGGAGUAAAACAAAACCUCCACAAUGAAUGAAAUAAAAUUCUUAUAAAAGAACCACAAUUCUAAUAAUCAAAAAUUUGACAUAAAUUGACCCAAACACUUGAUCAAUGAACCAAGUUACCCUGGGGAUAA